Rattus norvegicus (Norway rat) is the source of this 798-nucleotide long non-coding RNA. NCBI's taxonomy places the organism in Eukaryota, Metazoa, Chordata, Mammalia, Rodentia, Muridae. The record is from Ensembl.
CUUUAAAGUACCUGAGCACCGAAUAAUGUUACCAAGAUGUUGGACAAUGGCUGUUCCAGCCUAACCCAUUAAAACAGUACCAAUCAAAGAAACAAACUAUUCUACCUGUAUCCGUGGAGGUCAGCUCUAACUGGACACAUACAAGAGGUCUAUUUAAACUGGAGUCAUACAGCUGCAACCUCCCAGGAGAUCUGUUCUAAUGCAUCAGGCCAACCAACCUUAGAAACAACUAGAUGUCAGAAGGCAAUGUCAAAAGGUGAAAAAAUGAAAAUCUGAUCUUUUGUAAUAUAUGUGGACUUUCCAAGACUUCUAAGAUCACAAAUGAAUUUAUUUGAUCAGAAUUUAGAGAAAGAAUAUGAUAUGUCUGCCAUUCAGUGUUCAUUAUGCUCAGGUAUAAUACAUCAAAUCUUCAGCACUAAAAUAGAGUGGGAAGUCAUCAGUAAAACCUGAGUCAGUGUCCAUCACCUGUACAACUUGCUAUGGAAGAAGCUUGAGCCACUCACUGCUCCAUUGCUAUCCAUUGGCAUGCUAAAUCAAAUGUUUGCCUGGAAACAUUCAUCAAAGCUGCUGCAAUGCAAUCGUCUAUAUAAACAGUUUAUUUCACUGGCAAGAAGAUAGCUAACAUUCGUUUUCUCCAGAUGCUUCAGAGUUUCCUGUGACUUCAAACUGUUUCUUGCUACCCAUUUGCUUCAGUUGUCUUCAUAGAACACUGGACUUAAAGGAAGGGAAUGUGUAUCACACGUAACCAUAAGGAAGAAGGGUCAUGAUUAAACCUGUUUCUGAUCUGCUACAAGUAUG